CCAUUUGGAACCUGGCUGUGAGCAAGAAAACAUCUGUGGUUGGAAAGCGGGGGUGGUGAUUCAGGGCUGUUUGGGACUUGGAGAGGAUGCUCUUGAACUCUUUACUCAACAAACAGCUCCCUCCCACAAGGAGGCGAGAAGUCAUCUGUCUGUCUGCUUUGACACUUUCACCCAGUGACCUUCAGGGCUUCAGGCACCUUCCCCGUAAGAUGGAGUGAGCUUGGCACACACUGUCAUGGAUUUGCCCAUCACUGACUCAUUAAAGGUCUGAGUGAGAGGUGAAGGCAAAAGCAGACAAACAGGCACUGAGACUCUGCCUUCCCAGACCUGUGUCCUGUAAACAGGCUGACUGCUUCACAGCCAAGGCAUGAGCCUGGACGUGGGUUGGAAUUGGAGCCUUGACAGAUAAUAUCCAGAGCCUUUGACUGUGGCUACUGUGUUCAGAUGGGCUAUGGUGCCCACAACCAGAGCAUAGGGGAGAGGCAGGAUGGUAGGGAAAUUAUGUAGCCUGGGAACCGGAUACAAUUGCUCUCUGCCACUUACUUAGCUUUGUGACCUUGGAUAAAAGUGGCUUAUUCUUUCUCGGGCUCAGUUUCCCCAUCUGUGAAACUGGCAUAACGCUAUGGACCUAGAAUGCUUUAGGACAGUGUAACACACAGUCAUACAAGGUAUAUCCCACCCCCCCGCCCCGCCCCGCCCCGCCCCGCCCCGCCCCAUUCCUUCUACAUGGAGGAGAGGAAUAUGAUAUUUAAUCAAGUUAACUGGUAUAAAUAAGAGUCAAUAGCCACCAUCUCUUGAGCUUUUCUUACAAGCCAUUUAGUCCUUGUAGCAACUGUAAGACAGAGAGCUUUCUUUCCAUGUGAUUAUUUGGUCGAAGAUUGUGGGAAUUCUAGGUUCAUGGAAUACAGCAAAUGGGAAAAGCUGUCACUCACUUCGUGCCUUGUUUGGAAGAAGUUGGCUAUUUUAGAGGCAGCCAACUCAAAAUGAGGCAGAGGAGCCAGCGCCUGGCAUGCAUUGUUCGCUUCUGUGAGUGCUCUGGGGAAACCCUGCCAGUAGUUAUCAUGAUGGAGUUUCUUCUCCGUGCCAGGCGCCAGGAGGAGUGACGGCACACAGCACCUUGUUACAUCCUUGUGAUAACUUUGGCUCGGCAGCAUCCUUCCCAUUUUCAGAAGAGGAAACUGAGGGUGAGAUGACACUACCUGCCCAGAGGCAAGGAAUGGUGGCGCAGGGCUAGGUUCAUGCAUUUUCAAAACUCAGGACGAGAAUUUAAAUAGGGAAACCAUGCAUUUUUCAAAACUGGGAAGGGGAUUGGACAGUCAAACAAAGGAAAACCUCAUUAACGGGCUUUCAGAAUGUAUUCCUUAGGUUUCCAAGGGGACGUAGGCUAGGGAGGAUGGGCAAAGUUAGUCAGAUAUGGGGCAAGGGAUGAGCUUGGACAUGCUCGUUUCCUGUUUUUCACGUUCAGAGCCAUCUCACUCCUCAACUUCCCUGCUUCAGCAGAGGCUGGAUGAGCUCACUGUGGACCAAGAGUGGCUAUUACUGGAAGAAACUUUGUCCCCCUCCAGCCUUUAGCCAGCCAGUGCUAAUGGCAGAGCAAGCCUCUUCUGACAGCCUGGCGUGUGGCCCGGGCAGCCCACUGACCUGUAGGGAGCUUUGCCACUGGGUUUCCAGGCUGGGCUCUGCUUCCCUCAAGAGCCUGGUUGGGAAGCUCAGGGCCCUUUGUAGGACAAAAGGAACUGUACUGAGGGUUAGUGUCACAGGGAAGUGCUGGCAUUUUGUUAAUGAAAUAAGCAGGGAAGAGUUGGUUAUCCCAAAUAAUUAGGCUGCCCUAUUCACUCUCCCUUUGGGACCAGAGUGAAGCGAAUGUAAAUUGAAUGUAGACUAAGAUCCUCACUCCCCCAUUGGUUAACUCAGUGGUUAUUUUGUCAAGCAAACUCUCCAAGUUUCAGAGGUCUUCAUUGGCUAAGUGGGACAUUCAAAUGAGAUAUACACGUACUGUCUUGGUAUGGGUCUUGACUCCGAAUGUGUGUGUGUUCAUCCACUAACUAAAGUGAUGAUUUCAUUUUGCUUCAUGAAGGUUACUUGAGUAUGAACAUUUUAUACUCGCUUAGGUUCAUUACAACAUUCCCCAUUGUCAGGUAUAGAAAUCCAGCUUAAGACUAACCUAAACAUAAAGGGACAAAAAAAAAAAAAUGAAAUUUUAGGAACCUGGCAAGUCCAAGGAGGACCUACCUUCCAGUACAGCUGGACUCAGGAGUUCCAACAGUGACACCAGGGCCCAACUUCUCUUCACCCCUUAGCUAAGUCUCCUUCUGGAUAUUGGCUCUGCCUAUGGACAGUCUCUGGCCACCUACAGUUCCAGAUCCAUAUUUUUCCAGCUUGUUAAUUUCCAAUGUCCAUUUAUCUUCCAAUGUCCAGGCAAGACUUUGAUUGGCCUCACUUAGAAGAGACAACUGCACCUGGACCAAUCACUGUUGCUAAAGGCCCAGAGCACUGGGAUGGCUGGAGUCACGUGACCUACCCCGGGGUCCAGAAAGGGAUGCUGGUAGGUGUGAAGAUUGUUAGUUCUGCUAGGAUGACACAGAAUGAAGAAGGGAGUUAUCCAAAGGCACUAAGGGUGAUGGACAGACAAAAACAAAGGGUACCUACCCCAUUUAACAGCCUGAGAAAAGGAAAGUACUUGCUCCGGAUUCUUCCACAGCCCUCCCACUGAGUCAGUGCCAGUCCUAGGAUAGUUGUUCCAAAAAUCAUCAAGGCGAACUCUGUUGGCUUAGAGAGAAACACAGCUUCCAAGCAAAGUAAAAUAACUUGCAGAAGAGGGAAGAGUUGCACUCAACUAUGUGAAUCUGAAGUAAGUAGACUCCCCAGGCCAUGUCUGUCACUUUGGCUUAGCACAGAUGGGACUCAGGACAAAAUGUCACUCAACCAGCUGGGUGUUGUAUGGACGUCCCCUGCUCUGCUUGCUUUGAGUUCAAUGCUGUGCACAUCAGGAUAUGUGGUAAAUGGGACGUUUUCUCUGGGUAUUUUCAGGUGCCUCCUUUAAUUUUUUUGCCUCGAUUUUCCAAGACAACAACAGUCAGACACCCAAAGCCAAGCUAAUAUCACAUUCAUGAUUCUUGGGCUCUAGAUGCUUUAAACCUGCUUGGUCUUUCUUGGCAGAUACUCAUAUACUGUGUUAGCUUGAAGUUAAGGUGGUUAGGAUUCGCCUUUGUAAACUGAUAAGGCGAAAGCCACUUCAUUUCUCUUUCUACCCUUGUCAGUCCUUUGUGGUGGUAGGACCCACGGUCUUCCUUCCCAGCUUUUUCCCAGUAGUUAUUUCAUUUGUUUCACAAAUACUUGCUGAACACCUGUUUUGUGUAACAGGCUGAGUUAGGAGACGAGGCCCACACAUGUCCACCAGAUGUAGGCUGUCCUUCAUCCUCUUACUCUGCUUCUUCCAGUGUCUCCCUGUUUCUACCCUUGCCAGUGAGGAAAAGACUUCCAGAACCUCUUUACUCAAGAUUUGUAAUGGGAGACGGAGGAGGAAGAUUGCUUUGCACAUCUUGGAGCCAAUAAUUUACAGCGUUCUCCUGAAAUAUUUUUAUUCCUCAAAGUUGGUUCUGGGACAUGGUCACGUGCCCCCAGUCAUGGUUUCCUGCUUUCCCCUUUCCCCAGCUUUGUCGACCCCAGUUUCCGCCAUCUCGUACCCCCUCCCCUCCCCCACUCCCAUGAGUUCAGCCUCUCUCUUUCCCGGAACAGUUGUCUCUGCCUUAGCUUGUUUGACCUUCACUCUUGUAGAUGUAAAUAGCAUUGUGCUGCCUAGAAGACUAAAGGACCUUCCAGUUUCAGGAUGUACUCCUCUUAUAAACGAAUGUUAAUCUGUUAGUUAUCAGGCCCCAUUUAGAACCCAGGGGCUAUGGCAGUAUUUCUCAAAGGUGAACUGAGACUCAGCCCUCAGAUACUGGUUAAGUAUUAAAAUUCCUGGACCCUACUCCAGAUAAUCAGAAUCAGAGUCUCUUUGGAGAAAAGCAGUGGUUCUCAACUCUGCAUAGAGGGAAGACUUGGAGAACAUUUUUUAAAAGGCUCCCCAAGGGAUCCAGACAUGCAGCCAGGAUUUCCAAUCAUUGGAGUAGAAGUACCUGCAUUGUUUGCAAGCAACUCGAGUGACUCAUUUGUGGGCUGAGGUUUGCAUUGUGGGAAUUCAGAGAAGGAAAGAUAAUUUCCCCUGAUGGAGUUAGAGGAGGGAGGAGGGAGAAAAACAAAACAAAACAAAACAAAAAAAAAAACUUCCUAGAAGAGGGGAGUGCUAUUUGAGGUGGACCUGGGAGAAUAGGUGGGUUUUUAUCAGUUGUGGGCAAAGGGGGAAGUCAGUUUAAAUCACCCAUUUAAACUCCUGGUUAUUUAAAACAGAACUAAUGGCAGCCCAGUUUUGAGUAUAGAUCCAACUCUCAAUCAGCACAGUCGUUUGCACAAAAGCCUUUAUAUUGCCUACCUCUUUGACCAACAGAAGCCCCUUCUCUGCCCUCCCAAGUGGAUGAGCAGCUGCUUCCAGAUAUAGUCAGUAAGGGUCAAUGAUUUUUCUAAACGUUCUGCCCCACUGAUGCUACAAGUCAUGAAAAUAUUCCAGAAAUGUCAGUGUUUAAACAUACAAAUUCCAUCUCCAGGAUUACCUCUAACACGUGAAAGUGGCACAAUAUUUGUUGACAACCACCUGUUUCAACUGGGGGUUUAAACAAUAAAGCCUCUAUUUCCUAGAGGGCUUGAAUACCACCAGCUCUCCUCAGAAGGUGCUGGGGCGGGAGUAUGUAGGAGUGUCAGCCAACACGAUAACAAUCAGUCAAUAAUGGAGAUGGGUCACCGAGUGCCUUCCUCACCUUAAUGCCUGUUUGCUUAACUAACGCCAGUGAGAGUCCUUAUUAAGGGCUGUUAACACUCCAAAAUGCUGUUUGUUGAGCGUGCCCAAGUGAUAAGUGAUGCUUGUGUUUACUCUCUUGUUCUCAGGGCUGCUGUAGAAGCCUAAGCACAGUUUUGAAGUGGUUCACUUUCCAUGAACAGACUAGUCAGUUCUACAAAUAAGUCAAUGGUUUGGGAACAGAAUCACGAGC
RNAcentral lists this long non-coding RNA (5084 nucleotides) under Sus scrofa (pig). RNAcentral describes it as "lncRNA (ENSSSCG00000059950.1)". Lineage: Eukaryota; Metazoa; Chordata; Mammalia; Artiodactyla; Suidae. The record is from RNAcentral.